GCGGGCGGCUCAACGUAUUGAUUUUACUGGCUUUGCCAGUGGCAACUAUGAUUUAGGUUCCAGCGGCGCAAGCUGUAAGAGUUCGAGUCUCUUCGUCCGCACCA
This 104-nucleotide transfer RNA is filed under the name Pseudomonas sp. JQ170. RNAcentral's name for it is "tRNA-Leu". RNAcentral also lists the same sequence under 1 other name. The record is from RNAcentral. Lineage: Bacteria; Pseudomonadati; Pseudomonadota; Gammaproteobacteria; Pseudomonadales; Pseudomonadaceae.